Molecule: ribosomal RNA, 627 nt
Filed under: Cryptococcus sp. RY-21
Lineage: Eukaryota; Fungi; Basidiomycota; Tremellomycetes; Tremellales; Cryptococcaceae
Description: eukaryotic LSU rRNA
Rfam family: Eukaryotic large subunit ribosomal RNA
Source: RNAcentral
UAAGCGGAGGAAAAGAAACUAACAAGGAUUCCCCUAGUAACGGGCGAGUGAAGCGGGAAGAGCUCAAAUUUGAAAUCUGGUAGCCUUCGGUUGCCCGAGUUGUAAUCUAGAGAAGUGUUUUCCGCGUUGGCCCAUGUACAAGUCCCUUGGAACAGGGCGUCAUAGAGGGUGAGAAUCCCGUCCUUGACAUGGACCCCCAAUGCUUUGUGAUACACUUUCAACGAGUCGAGUUGUUUGGGAAUGCAGCUCAAAAUGGGUGGUGAAUUCCAUCUAAAGCUAAAUAUUGGCGAGAGACCGAUAGCGAACAAGUACCGUGAGGGAAAGAUGAAAAGCACUUUGGAAAGAGAGUUAAACAGUACGUGAAAUUGUUGAAAGGGAAACGAUUGAAGUCAGUCAUGCUCUUUGGAUUAAGCCGUUCUGCGGUGUAUUUCAUUGAGCGGGGUCAACAUCAGUUUUGAUCGCUGGAAAAGGGCAGGAGGAAGGUAGCACUCUCGGGUGAACUUAUAGCCUCUUGUCGUAUACAGUGAUUGGGACUGAGGAACGCAGCAUGCCUUUUGGCCGGGAUUCGUCCACGUACCAUGAUUAGGAUGUUGACAUAAUGGCUUUAAACGACCCGUCUUGAAACAC